This 494-nucleotide ribosomal RNA is filed under the name uncultured bacterium. RNAcentral's name for it is "partial 16S ribosomal RNA". It matches the Rfam family "Bacterial small subunit ribosomal RNA", at positions 28 to 507 of the family's 1533-position model. The record is from RNAcentral.
GACGAACGCUGGCGGCGCGCUUAACACAUGCAAGUCGAACGGAAAGGCCUGCUUUCCCUUGUGGAUUGCGGGUACUCGAGUGGCGAACGGGUGAGUAACACGUGAGUGAUCUGCCCCCAACUUGGGUAUAAGCCUGGGAAACUGGGUCUAAUUCCCGAUAGGACUGCAGGGUGGUGCCUGUGGUGGAACACGAUUUUCUAGUGGUUGGGGAUGAGCUCGCGGCCUAUCAGCUUGUUGGUGGGGUAAUGGCCUACCAAGGCGGCGACGGGUAGCCGGCCUGAGAGGGGGGACGGCCACAUUGGGACUGAGAUACGGCCCAGACUCCUACGGGAGGCAGCAGUGGGGAAUAUUACACAAUGGGCGGAAGCCUGAUGCAGCGACGCCGCGUGGGGGAUGACGGCCUUCGGGUUGUAAACUCCUUUCGACCGCGAGGAAGCCACCUGGUUGGAAGGGUGGUGACGGUAGUGGUAGAAGAAGCACCGGCUAACUACGUG